Molecule: ribosomal RNA, 253 nt
Filed under: uncultured bacterium
Lineage: Bacteria
Description: partial 16S ribosomal RNA
Rfam family: Bacterial small subunit ribosomal RNA
Source: RNAcentral
UACGAAGGGUGCAAGCGUUACUCGGAAUUACUGGGCGUAAAGUGUGCGCAGGCGGCUUCGCAAGUCGAGUGUGAAAUCCCCGAGCUUAACUUGGGAAUUGCGCUCGAAACUACGGAGCUGGAGUGUGGCAGAGGAAGGUGGAAUUCCACGUGUAGCGGUGAAAUGCGUAGAGAUGUGGAGGAACACCGAUGGCGAAGGCAGCCUUCUGGGCCAACACUGACGCUCAUGCACGAAAGCGUGGGGAGCAAACAGG